RNAcentral lists this transfer RNA (88 nucleotides) under Bacteroidales bacterium. RNAcentral's name for it is "tRNA-Ser". It matches the Rfam family "tRNA". Rfam says of the family: Transfer RNA (tRNA) molecules are approximately 80 nucleotides in length. The record is from RNAcentral. Lineage: Bacteria; Pseudomonadati; Bacteroidota; Bacteroidia; Bacteroidales.
GGAGAGGUGGGUGAGUGGCUUAAACCAGCAGUUUGCUAAACUGUCGUAUUCUAAUAGGAUACCGGGGGUUCGAAUCCCCCCUUCUCCG